CCGUGCUAGGCGGGGAACUAGCGGUGCCCUGCACCCGCAAUCCGCUAUAGCGGGGCUGAAUCCCUGUUCGAGAUCUGUGUCUCCACAUACCGCUCUGUCCAUCGGCGAUGAGGGCUGGGUCCUGCGCGGCAGAGUGCUAUGAACCCCGUCAGGUCCGGAAGGAAGCAGCGGUAAAUAGAGAGCUCUGGGUGCCGCAGGGUUUCCUGGCAGGAGCCAACGGGCAGAGUAGGCCGUAGAGACACGGGUCGACAACGGGUGCACGG
Molecule: signal recognition particle RNA, 263 nt
Filed under: Chloroflexota bacterium
Lineage: Bacteria; Bacillati; Chloroflexota
Description: Chloroflexi bacterium (groundwater metagenome) signal recognition particle sRNA large type
Rfam family: Bacterial large signal recognition particle RNA
About the family: The signal recognition particle (SRP) is a universally conserved ribonucleoprotein involved in the co-translational targeting of proteins to membranes. Archaeal SRP consists of a 7S RNA and homologues of the eukaryotic SRP19 and SRP54 proteins. In most bacteria, the SRP consists of a 4.5S RNA and the Ffh protein (a homologue of the eukaryotic SRP54 protein).
Source: RNAcentral